This 450-nucleotide ribosomal RNA is filed under the name uncultured Glomeromycotina. Its description in RNAcentral is "SSU rRNA". It matches the Rfam family "Eukaryotic small subunit ribosomal RNA", at positions 569 to 1024 of the family's 1831-position model. The record is from RNAcentral. Lineage: Eukaryota; Fungi; Glomeromycota.
CGCAGCCGCGGUAAUUCCAGCUCCAAUAGCGUAUAUUAAAGUUGUUGCAGUUAAAAAGCUCGUAGUUGAAUUUCGGGGUCAGUAGGAUGGUCGUGCCAAUGGUAUGUACUGGCUUUACUGAUUCCUCCUUCUUGAAGAACUGUAAUGCCAUUAAUUUGGUGUUGCAGGGAAUCAGGACUGUUACUUUGAAAAAAUUAGAGUGUUUAAAGCAGGCUUACGCUUGAAUACAUUAGCAUGGAAUAAUGAAAUAGGACGUUGAUCUUAUUUUGUUGGUUUCUAGGAUUGACGUAAUGAUUAAUAGGGAUAGUUGGGGGCAUUAGUAUUCAAUUGUCAGAGGUGAAAUUCUUGGAUUUAUUGAAGACUAACUACUGCGAAAGCAUUUGCCAAGGAUGUUUUCAUUAAUCAAGAACGAAAGUUAGGGGAUCGAAGACGAUCAGAUACCGUCGUAGU